This 274-nucleotide ribosomal RNA is filed under the name uncultured bacterium. RNAcentral's name for it is "partial 16S ribosomal RNA". It matches the Rfam family "Bacterial small subunit ribosomal RNA", at positions 523 to 796 of the family's 1533-position model. The record is from RNAcentral.
AUACAGAGGGUGCAAGCGUUAAUCGGAAUUACUGGGCGUAAAGCGCGCGUAGGCGGUUUAAUCAGUCGGAUGUGAAAGCCCCGGGCUCAACCUGGGAACUGCAUUCGAUACUGUUAAGCUAGAGUAUGGUAGAGGGAAGUGGAAUUCCAGGUGUAGCGGUGAAAUGCGUAGAUAUCUGGAGGAACAUCAGUGGCGAAGGCGACUACCUGGACCAAUACUGACGCUGAGGUGCGAAAGCGUGGGGAGCAAACAGGAUUAGAUACCCUAGUAGUCC